Cinara cedri is the source of this 760-nucleotide non-coding RNA. NCBI's taxonomy places the organism in Eukaryota, Metazoa, Arthropoda, Insecta, Hemiptera, Aphididae. The record is from the annotation of a GenBank genome assembly.
GUCGUAUUAAUGAUAUCCGGACCGAUCUCAACAAUCUUGUCGGCAAUAACGAAAUGUGUUACCGUGUGUACUUUACAUAUUAUUAUAUAAUGACCACUUACCGUUAAAACAACAGCGUAUUACAUUUGGUGAACGUACUAGGCGUUGAUUUUUGAACGCUAGGCAUUUAUCGUCGGUAUAUCCACGUGAAUUUUACCAAGAGAACAACAGAUAAUGCAAAAAGGAAAAAACAUGUGUUGAUUUUUGAUACGAAACGACGAGAGGUAUAAUUUCCAAAAAAAAAAAACAUCUUUUUGGUAGUUUAAUGGAUUUCGGGAAAAUACAAUGAUAGAUCUUAACAUUUAAUCACAAAAUUAUUCUUGGGUUUUGGACGAAAAAGACCGGCCGGGGAUAUCAUUAUUUGCAUAGAAUUAAUUUUUAUUGGUGUAUUUUAUUUUCGUCGUUUAAUUUCGUUUGCAUUGUAAAUUUUUAAAGUUCGUGACAGUGCUUUAGACAACAUGCACAUUGGUCUUCUACGCUCCAACACCCCUUAUGCUUCCCAGUACACAUUAAAAAUGCUCUUUUACGGUGCCAACGAUCACAUGAUCGUCGACAACAUAAACAAUGAUGAUGAUUAAUACUUUUCUUACAUAAUUUGUAACCUUUCUGACAUCUUGGCAGUGAUCUCCCACUGAGGCUUUCGUAAUGUGCACUUACAGUUGUUAAGGCUAUGGUCAGUAAAAUAAAAUAUAGCCAAAAGCAUACAUAAUUGAAAUUCAUU